RNAcentral lists this ribosomal RNA (332 nucleotides) under Atopobium sp. HMSC064B08. Its description in RNAcentral is "bacterial SSU rRNA". It matches the Rfam family "Bacterial small subunit ribosomal RNA", at positions 1211 to 1533 of the family's 1533-position model. The record is from RNAcentral. Lineage: Bacteria; Bacillati; Actinomycetota; Coriobacteriia; Coriobacteriales; Atopobiaceae.
GGGCUACACACGUGCUACAAUGGCCGGCACAAUGGGCUGCCAACCCGCGAGGGUGAGCGAAUCCCUAAAGCCGGUCCCAGUUCGGAUUGGAGGCUGCAACCCGCCUCCAUGAAGUCGGAGUUGCUAGUAAUCGCGGAUCAGCACGCCGCGGUGAAUGCGUUCCCGGGCCUUGUACACACCGCCCGUCACACCACCCGAGUCGAUUGCACCCGAAGUCGUCGGCCUAACCUUUUAGGAGGGAGACGCCGAAGGUGUGGUUGGUAAGGGGGGUGAAGUCGUAACAAGGUAGCCGUACCGGAAGGUGCGGCUGGAUCACCUCCUUUCUAGGGAGA